Molecule: small nuclear RNA, 23 nt
Filed under: Arabidopsis thaliana (thale cress)
Lineage: Eukaryota; Viridiplantae; Streptophyta; Magnoliopsida; Brassicales; Brassicaceae
Description: snRNA_06664
Source: RNAcentral
UUAUAUUAUUUACAUUGUGGAUU